This 249-nucleotide ribosomal RNA is filed under the name uncultured prokaryote. RNAcentral describes it as "partial 16S ribosomal RNA". It matches the Rfam family "Bacterial small subunit ribosomal RNA", at positions 524 to 772 of the family's 1533-position model. The record is from RNAcentral.
UACGGAGGAUGCGAGCGUUAUCCGGAUUUAUUGGGUUUAAAGGGUGCGUAGGCGGCUUAGUAAGUCAGCGGUGAAAUUUUGCAGCUUAACUGUAACAGUGCCGUUGAUACUGCCAGGCUAGGAUUUGGUUGCUGUGGGUGGAAUGUGUGGUGUAGCGGUGAAAUGCUUAGAGAUCACACAGAAUAUCGAUUGCGAAGGCAGCUCACAAAGCCAAGAUUGACGCUGAGGCACGAAAGUGUGGGGAUCAAA